RNAcentral lists this non-coding RNA (277 nucleotides) under Callithrix jacchus (white-tufted-ear marmoset). Its description in RNAcentral is "Eukaryotic small subunit ribosomal RNA". It matches the Rfam family "Eukaryotic small subunit ribosomal RNA", at positions 1229 to 1409 of the family's 1831-position model. Lineage: Eukaryota; Metazoa; Chordata; Mammalia; Primates; Cebidae. The record is from Rfam by way of RNAcentral.
ACUCAGACAGGACUGACAGAUGGAUAGCUUUUUCUCGAUUCCAUGGGUGGUGGUGGUCCAUGGCCCUUCUUGGUUGCUGGAGUGAUUUCUCUGGUUAACUCUGAUAAUAAAUGAGACUCUGGCAUGCUAACUAGUUGUGCAACCCCUGAGCGAAUGCGAGAAAAUUUUUCCAAUCUAUCCAUCUGACAAAGGGCUAUCCAGAAUCUACAAAGAACUUAAAUUUACAAGAAUAAAACAACCCCAUCAGAAAGUGGGCAAAGGAUAUGAACAGACACUU